Molecule: non-coding RNA, 202 nt
Organism: Cinara cedri
Lineage: Eukaryota; Metazoa; Arthropoda; Insecta; Hemiptera; Aphididae
Source: the annotation of a GenBank genome assembly
AAAAAAAACAAGUCGACAUUUAAUGAAAACUCAACACGCAUGUUUUCAGUCAUGUGUAAAAUGUUUUCGAUUGUUAUUAAUAAUCUGUCAUUGUAAGCUUUUGCAAUACGAUUUACCGUUAUAAUACUUGCUUUUCAGCAGACUGUUCUGAGCAAUAAUCUCGUGAUUAGUACGAGAAAUAUAUUAGAAAUAAUUUUCGAAG